UCACCAGUUUCUUUCCACGAAUACCGAGAGAAAUCGAGCGGUGUUUUUCGUGUUCUUCAUAAUCAAACGAAGAUUUGAAGGUGUUAUUGGAGUCAGAAUCAAGGGUGCAAAUAGUCAAAUCGAAGAUAUCGAAGAGUAGAACCCAAAUCAAUCAUCAAAAACAACAUGAGAUUCACAGAAAGGAUUAAAGAUGAAUGGCUAGACUAUGAUUGCGAGUAAGGCUAAGGCUAGGCGAGGAUUCAGAGUUGAGGAUUCAGUGGUCAAGGAGUAUUCAGGAAGAUUUAUAAAGUUGGUGCUAGCUAGAGUUGAGCUAUUGAGAUUCAGAUGUAAUUCAUAGCUGGAACAAAUUGGCAGUGAUUCUUCUUAUCGAAGAUGAUCUGAUUUGGUAAGAGAUGUUGUGUAAUAAUUAGUGAUGGAUUCUAAUUUCAAUACUGUAACCUGGAUGCGAUCCUGUUGAUUUUAGGGGGUUUAAAUGUUCUCUUUCAAAUCUUU
Daucus carota subsp. sativus is the source of this 492-nucleotide long non-coding RNA. RefSeq lists it as uncharacterized. The record is from RefSeq and is a predicted model, not a curated record. The transcript is spliced from 2 exons. NCBI's taxonomy places the organism in Eukaryota, Viridiplantae, Streptophyta, Magnoliopsida, Apiales, Apiaceae.